This is a long non-coding RNA of Perognathus longimembris pacificus (Pacific pocket mouse), 611 nucleotides long. RefSeq lists it as uncharacterized. Lineage: Eukaryota; Metazoa; Chordata; Mammalia; Rodentia; Heteromyidae. The record is from RefSeq and is a predicted model, not a curated record. The transcript is spliced from 3 exons.
GGGAAAAAGUAUUUCCUCAUGCGGUUUUUGCCUUGUAGCAAACCUCUGUUAGAAAAUGUAAAAAACAAAUACCCCAAAUUCAGAACUUCUUAUUCACAAAGCCAUUAAAAUUUUCUUAAACUGAUAGCUGCAUAUCCUAAUGUGAGACACUAUACUGCAAAGUAUAGUAUAAUAUUUACAUUUCAUAUACACAGUAAUUAGGAUGAAAGCAACUAUUUUUAUUGCUCAUUUUCAGCGAUAGGAUUUUUUUUUCUUUACUUUUGCAGUACUGCUGAUUAAACUCAGGCUAGAGUUUGGUAGGCAUGUAUCCUAUCACUAAGCUAUAUUAGAGACAGGUUAUUUUCCUAUAACUUAACCAUAGUGAUAAGAAAAUAAAUAGGAAAAUAGCAAAGAACAUUAUGGUGUCUAACUUAACAAUAUUACAAUGAAGUCAGAGGAUAUAAUACAUGAAGGGAAGGGACUAAGUUUCUAUUAAAUGAAUUAAUUAGAAAAAUAGCAAUUUAUUUAGAAAAUGGUUCUAAAUUUUUUGAUUGGACAAGUGAUUACAAAGUUAAAAAUGAUAGUGCUGGCUGGGGAUAUGGCCUAGUGGCAAGAGUGCUUGCCUCGUAUAC